GCCAUAGGUCCUCAAUAGCUAAACUCAUAUUUCUGUUCCUCUCUUUUGCCUUAGCUCCCAGAGCUGCUUACACCUGCUUGGCUGAUUUCCCUGGGCUGUGCUGAGGAGUGAGAAGGGGUGAGAGGAGCUGGUACUAAUUUCAUCUCCCUUCUACGCCCCAGCAUAUAAUGGGAAAGGCCUGAUUUUCACCACCAUCUACAAUACCAGGGACAUGAACCUGAUGUGAAUCUCAGGGUUAGCAUCCUUCCUCAUCCAACUCCCAGAGCAUAUCUGUACAUUAUCUGGAUUAUUUCAAAUGUUGAGAACAUCGAUAUUGAGAAAGUGCUGCUUAUUAUGGCAUUUUGAGAAGCACCACUAAACUAAAAAGCAGGUCAGACACUCUUAGACUGAGUUGAAA
RNAcentral lists this long non-coding RNA (397 nucleotides) under Anser brachyrhynchus (Pink-footed goose). RNAcentral describes it as "lncRNA (ENSABRG00000016052.1)". The record is from RNAcentral. Lineage: Eukaryota; Metazoa; Chordata; Aves; Anseriformes; Anatidae.